UACGUAGGGGGCAAGCGUUAUCCGGAUUUACUGGGUGUAAAGGGAGCGUAGACGGCAGCGCAAGUCCGAAGUGAAAGCCCGGGGCCCAACCCCGGGACUGCUUUGGAAACUGUGAAGCUGGAGUGCGGGAGGGGCAGGCGGAAUUCCUGGUGUAGCGGUGAAAUGCGUAGAUAUCAGGAGGAACACCGGCGGCGAAGGCGGCCUGCUGGACCGUAACUGACGUUGAGGCUCGAAAGCGUGGGGAGCAAACAGG
RNAcentral lists this ribosomal RNA (253 nucleotides) under uncultured bacterium. RNAcentral's name for it is "partial 16S ribosomal RNA". It matches the Rfam family "Bacterial small subunit ribosomal RNA", at positions 524 to 776 of the family's 1533-position model. The record is from RNAcentral.